RNAcentral lists this ribosomal RNA (530 nucleotides) under Aureobasidium pullulans. Its description in RNAcentral is "eukaryotic LSU rRNA". It matches the Rfam family "Eukaryotic large subunit ribosomal RNA", at positions 143 to 664 of the family's 3401-position model. Lineage: Eukaryota; Fungi; Ascomycota; Dothideomycetes; Dothideales; Saccotheciaceae. The record is from RNAcentral.
UUGUAAUCUAUAGAGGCGUUUUCCGCGCCGGACCGCGUCCAAGUCUCUUGGAAUAGAGUAUCAAAGAGGGUGACAAUCCCGUACUUGACGCGACAACCGGUGCUCUGUGAUACGUUCUCAAUGAGUCGAGUUGUUUGGGAAUGCAGCUCUAAAUGGGUGGUAAAUUCCAUCUAAGGCUAAAUAUUGGCGAGAGACCGAUAGCGAACAAGUACCGUGAGGGAAAGAUGAAAAGCACUUUGGAAAGAGAGUUAAACAGCACGUGAAAUUGUUAAAAGGGAAACGAUUGAAGUCAGUCGUGUGAAAGGUAUUCAGCCGUCUCUGGCGGUGUAUUUGCCUUUCACGGGUCAACAUCAGUUUGAUCCGGUAGAAAAAGGCGGGAGGAAGGUGGCACCCUCGGGUGUGUUAUAGCCUCCUGUCAUAUGUGCCGGACCAGACUGAGGAACGCAGCUUGCCGCAAGGCCGGGGUUCGCCCACGUACAAGCUUAGGAUGUUGACAUAAUGGCUUUAAACGACCCGUCUUGAAACCACGG